UACAUGGGGUGCAAACGUUGCUCGGAAUUAUUGGGCGUAAAGCGCACGUAGGCGGUUCGUUAAGUCGGAUGUGAAAGCCCUCGGCUCAACUGAGGAAGUGCACCCGAAACUGGCGAGCUUGAGUACUUAAGAGGAUCGCGGAAUUCCCGGUGUAGAGGUGAAAUUCGUAGAUAUCGGGAGGAACACCAGUGGCGAAGGCGGCGAUCUGGGAAGAUACUGACGCUGAGGUGCGAAAGCGUGGGGAGCAAACAGGG
Molecule: ribosomal RNA, 254 nt
Filed under: uncultured bacterium
Lineage: Bacteria
Description: partial 16S ribosomal RNA
Rfam family: Bacterial small subunit ribosomal RNA
Source: RNAcentral